Molecule: long non-coding RNA, 1314 nt
Filed under: Diabrotica virgifera virgifera (western corn rootworm)
Lineage: Eukaryota; Metazoa; Arthropoda; Insecta; Coleoptera; Chrysomelidae
Description: uncharacterized LOC126881359
Source: RNAcentral
ACACAAACUAACGAAGAGGUUAUGUUUGUAUCUAUUUUUCAAUGAUUUUUCAUUGUUUAUCGUCGUAUUUUGUCUAUUUUCAAUUCAUUUGGAUUUCGUUUCCUGUUUUUGUGAACUUUAUAAACUUUACCACAAUGCAAACUGAUUAUUUAAGGAAAUUAUUAUUGGAAACUCCAGAUGUUGCGAGAAAGAUAUUUAUUGAAGCUGAAAAUAAUUGGGGAUUUAGAUCCAUACGGAAUUCAGUCAGAAUUGGAUUUUACAGUAAAGUGCAGUCCAUCAAGUUACUAUUAUAGAUAUUUAUACAGAUCUGGUGGAGUCUCACAGUUGCUACUCUAAGCAGCAGAUGAAAGCAUACAAAAGCCUUCAGGCACAUAAAUAUUUUACAGCUGGAUUUGUUUUGAAUGGAGUAAAAAUUGUUAAUGAUUUCCUGAUUUCCAUAUAUUAUUGUUGGAAAGGUAUGCCUUUAUUUUAUUUAUUCACCAUUAAGAAAUAUAUGGAUAACAGUAUUAGUGUCUUUUGGAUAAAUUGGUUCUAAAUAUUAGAUUUAUUUAUGUUUAUAUAUCUGUAUGAAACCAGACAUAUCGUUGUCCUAAUAUGUAAACUGCGAACUCCAUAAUUCUCUGAAAAUGAUUUAUUACUGCCAUCGAUUUGAAUUACUGUCAUGAUUGUUCUAAAAUUAUAUUAUAUGAAUGUCUGAUUUUAAAUAAAAUAUUCUCAAUCAUUGUAAAGAACGCAAAUACUCUAAUAAAAAUAAAUUUUUGUAGUUGAAGAAUUUCCAAAAAAAAUAAAAUAUUUUUUUUAGGUGAAGCAUUUCCAAAAAGCUAAUGCUAAACGACUAAAUGCUUGGGUGGGGUGAUAGCCAGUUCUGAUGACAUAGCAAAUGCACAUUGUAUGUGUAUGGCCGGUAAUAGUGAAGUCUGCAGCAAUCCUAUUUUUAGCUGAGUAUGCCCAGAGCAAGACAGACGAAGAAGAACCCAAUGCAUGUACAUAUGUUACAGCUACAUGGUUUGGAGAUAGCAGCAUAUGCAUUCUCUGAUGAAAAACUAAUGAGUUUUGAAACUGUUCGGUCAGAGUGCUUGUUGCGCUCACUAAACGAACUGAAAUAUAAGAUGGCUUUGGCAUUGUGUUGCAGCGAUAGGAAAAUGGUUAUUCAUUUUUAAUUAUAAUGUACUUCUUCAUCAUGAGUAAUUAUGUAUUGGUCUUUUAGAUGUGUAUUUAUUUUUGUAAUUAGUAUCAACUUGUAAUGAUAAUAUACAUUUAUCGUUUAAGGUACGACUAUGUUUUGACUCUAAAAUAAAUGUUUUAAAAAUCGAA